UACAGAGGGUGCAAGCGUUGUUCGGAAUUAUUGGGCGUAAAGGGCGCGUAGGCGGUGCCACAAGUCACCUGUUAAAUCUCCGGGCUUAACUCGGAGCCUGCAGGCGAAACUGUGGUGCUGGAGUGUGGGAGAGGUGCGUGGAAUUCCCGGUGUAGCGGUGAAAUGCGUAGAUAUCUGGAGGAAUACCGGUGGCGAAGGCGGCAUCCUGGACCGAGAUUGACGCUGAGACGCGAAAGCGUGGGGAGCAAACAGG
Molecule: ribosomal RNA, 253 nt
Filed under: uncultured bacterium
Lineage: Bacteria
Description: partial 16S ribosomal RNA
Rfam family: Bacterial small subunit ribosomal RNA
Source: RNAcentral